Molecule: long non-coding RNA, 1225 nt
Organism: Vespula vulgaris
Lineage: Eukaryota; Metazoa; Arthropoda; Insecta; Hymenoptera; Vespidae
Exons: 2
Source: RefSeq, a predicted model, not a curated record
UUGUGGUGCUGUAAUGGUAGAAACCAAGGAGAUCUAUAUAUUCCGUGUCAGUUAGGCCAUCUAGUUAAUAGAGUCUAAUAUUUGAUAUGAGAGAGGUUAUAUAGAAAAAUAAAAUGAAUCGUUUAUUAUAGUUUUGGAAGCGAAGCUUUUUGAAAUCUCCGUAUCAAUUAUAAUCGUUUUGCGUUUUCUUAUUUAGCUACAGAAUAUACCUGCAUGGGAUAUAUAAACAAGGUUAAAUCAAUCAUCACAUAGGCAAUAUCAAAAGCAUAUGAAUUUACGUGUCACUGAAGACAUUGAGGUUACCUUAAACUUAAAGUUGAUUGGUCAGCUCAAUCAGAAAAAAGACCAAUCAUAUCAAUCGAUAGAUAUUUCUUUCUUUCUUUCUUUCUUUUUUUUUUUAUAAAAAUAUUCCGAACAAAAUUUCAACAAAUGUAAACAAUUACAGUAUAAUAUUGUAUAUUUAACAAUAUUGUAAGACUUUCCUACAUAACAAAUAAAAUUAUUAAACAAUGAUAGUUGGUAAUUAUAUAGAAACAUCGUUAUUUUGUACAAUCGUUUAGUACAUACAGUUCUACCAAUCUAAUCAUAAUGUAUUAAUCUGAAAACCAAUAAAAAUGCGAUUACAUACUGCGAACUUUAAUUCGAAUCAACGGCGUCUGUAUCUGCGAUAAAAAAUUGUCGUAAAUCGAUAAAAUAUUCUAGUAGAAUUUUUAAUGGUGUUAAUACGUAAAUUAAAAAUCAUUUUUCGAAUCAUACAUAUACAUAUAUAUACAUACAUACAUACAUACAUAUGACAUAUAACAAUGUCAGAAAUACAAACAAAUCGAGAAAAGAAAAAAGAAAGAAGCUUUCCGUAUUAUUUCGAUGAAAAAUAAUCAAAUGAAGGAACAUACCCGGUGAAUAUCUCAUUUUGUGGAUGAAAUAUAUAUAUAUAUAUAUAAAGAAAGAGAAAGAGAGAGAGAAAGAGAGAAAGAGCUGCGACGCAACAAAAUCGUAUAGAAGAAAGAAGAAAAGAGUCGCAGACGCCUCCGGUUAACUAACUUUCAAAUAAUGGACGCGCAUUCCACAGGGAGAGAAAAAGAGAAAGAGAAAGAGAGACAGCUUAUAAAUAGAAAAUAUACUGCAAUUUCCGUACGACGAACUCAAAACCGUAAUUUUGCUUCCUCGUUAAUGAUGCUUCCUAUAAACUUACGAAAUACAACUACUUUACGUAGAUUCAUGUUGG